RNAcentral lists this ribosomal RNA (1542 nucleotides) under Serratia plymuthica. RNAcentral describes it as "bacterial SSU rRNA". It matches the Rfam family "Bacterial small subunit ribosomal RNA". RNAcentral also lists the same sequence under 4 other names. Lineage: Bacteria; Pseudomonadati; Pseudomonadota; Gammaproteobacteria; Enterobacterales; Yersiniaceae. The record is from RNAcentral.
AAAUUGAAGAGUUUGAUCAUGGCUCAGAUUGAACGCUGGCGGCAGGCCUAACACAUGCAAGUCGAGCGGUAGCACAGGAGAGCUUGCUCUCCGGGUGACGAGCGGCGGACGGGUGAGUAAUGUCUGGGAAACUGCCUGAUGGAGGGGGAUAACUACUGGAAACGGUAGCUAAUACCGCAUAACGUCUACGGACCAAAGUGGGGGACCUUCGGGCCUCACGCCAUCAGAUGUGCCCAGAUGGGAUUAGCUAGUAGGUGGGGUAAUGGCUCACCUAGGCGACGAUCCCUAGCUGGUCUGAGAGGAUGACCAGCCACACUGGAACUGAGACACGGUCCAGACUCCUACGGGAGGCAGCAGUGGGGAAUAUUGCACAAUGGGCGCAAGCCUGAUGCAGCCAUGCCGCGUGUGUGAAGAAGGCCUUAGGGUUGUAAAGCACUUUCAGCGAGGAGGAAGGGUUCAGUGUUAAUAGCACUGUACAUUGACGUUACUCGCAGAAGAAGCACCGGCUAACUCCGUGCCAGCAGCCGCGGUAAUACGGAGGGUGCAAGCGUUAAUCGGAAUUACUGGGCGUAAAGCGCACGCAGGCGGUUUGUUAAGUCAGAUGUGAAAUCCCCGCGCUUAACGUGGGAACUGCAUUUGAAACUGGCAAGCUAGAGUCUUGUAGAGGGGGGUAGAAUUCCAGGUGUAGCGGUGAAAUGCGUAGAGAUCUGGAGGAAUACCGGUGGCGAAGGCGGCCCCCUGGACAAAGACUGACGCUCAGGUGCGAAAGCGUGGGGAGCAAACAGGAUUAGAUACCCUGGUAGUCCACGCUGUAAACGAUGUCGAUUUGGAGGUUGUGCCCUUGAGGCGUGGCUUCCGGAGCUAACGCGUUAAAUCGACCGCCUGGGGAGUACGGCCGCAAGGUUAAAACUCAAAUGAAUUGACGGGGGCCCGCACAAGCGGUGGAGCAUGUGGUUUAAUUCGAUGCAACGCGAAGAACCUUACCUACUCUUGACAUCCAGAGAAUUCGCUAGAGAUAGCUUAGUGCCUUCGGGAACUCUGAGACAGGUGCUGCAUGGCUGUCGUCAGCUCGUGUUGUGAAAUGUUGGGUUAAGUCCCGCAACGAGCGCAACCCUUAUCCUUUGUUGCCAGCGAUUCGGUCGGGAACUCAAAGGAGACUGCCGGUGAUAAACCGGAGGAAGGUGGGGAUGACGUCAAGUCAUCAUGGCCCUUACGAGUAGGGCUACACACGUGCUACAAUGGCGUAUACAAAGAGAAGCGAACUCGCGAGAGCAAGCGGACCUCAUAAAGUACGUCGUAGUCCGGAUUGGAGUCUGCAACUCGACUCCAUGAAGUCGGAAUCGCUAGUAAUCGUAGAUCAGAAUGCUACGGUGAAUACGUUCCCGGGCCUUGUACACACCGCCCGUCACACCAUGGGAGUGGGUUGCAAAAGAAGUAGGUAGCUUAACCUUCGGGAGGGCGCUUACCACUUUGUGAUUCAUGACUGGGGUGAAGUCGUAACAAGGUAACCGUAGGGGAACCUGCGGUUGGAUCACCUCCUUA